RNAcentral lists this long non-coding RNA (460 nucleotides) under Hordeum vulgare. RNAcentral describes it as "long non-coding RNA (HVUL_LNC003848)". The record is from RNAcentral. Lineage: Eukaryota; Viridiplantae; Streptophyta; Magnoliopsida; Poales; Poaceae.
UUUUUUAUUUUCUCUCGUUCUUUUUUCUCCUUUUUUAUUUUAUGUAUGGAGUCUUAUCUCGACUUGUGGAAGGGGGUCAUUGUCUCCAUCAUCCUUUCCUCAUUACACUUUUAUUUACUUACAACUGAUCAUGAAAAACUACAGUAUGACUCUAUAUGAAUGCCUCUGGCAGUGUAUGAGGAUGUGCAAAGAUUUAGCAGAGAAAAAUAUAUCAAAAUACGGACAAGCCAUCGAAAUAUCGUGAUAGCUGUCUUAGGAUCAUGCCAAGCAAUAUGAAAAUGAAAGUAUUAGUCUUAUAUUUUGACAACGGAAUUUUCGUGGAAAUAUAUCUCAGAAUGGCUAUGGAAAUGCCAUGAUCGAUAGAUUAUGUGCAACAGAUCGUAUCGACAUGGACUUUGGAUGCACCGGCGAAGGUUCCAUCGAUCCUCGAGGCGAGAAUGGGAAAUGCACGGCACCGAAG